Long non-coding RNA from Papaver somniferum (opium poppy), 588 nucleotides. RefSeq lists it as uncharacterized. The record is from RefSeq and is a predicted model, not a curated record. The transcript is spliced from 2 exons. Lineage: Eukaryota; Viridiplantae; Streptophyta; Magnoliopsida; Ranunculales; Papaveraceae.
UUCAUUUCCUAUCAAACAACACUGUUGCAUACUAAUGGCUCCGAUUCACAGGCUACAUGCUCAACACGAGUAGGAAAAUUGUUCAGCAGACCAAUACUAUAGUUUUCUAAAUUAUGACAUGGAAAAACUCCAGCGGAUUUGUCCUCAAUAUUUCAAGAGUUUCCAGACUCUUGUUGGAGAUGAAAACGGUGCUGGCACCAUAUGGCUCGCGACAUUGGCUAUGGGGCCUUCUCAUGAGGAAAUGGUGAAGGUGAAGCAUAAGGUUGUAGCCGUGGAUGAUGAAAGUAGGACUCUUAAUGUCAGUAUGAUCGACAGAGAUCUCUUGCGUAAGUAUCCAAGAUAGAGCAGACAUUCAUUCACUGCAACUCCAAUAGUUACACAAGGACAUGAGCAAAGCUGCUUAGUGAAAUUGUCCGUGGAGUAUGAGAAAGAAAAUGAAAAUGUACCUCAUCCCCAUGAGUAUAUGGAGUGUGCAGCUAUCAUGAACGUUGCAAAGAAUGCAUAAUUUAUACUGGUAAUACACAAGCUGGCUAUCUGUAAUAAUGAUGCAUAAAUAAAACUCUUGGAUCGAUCGGAUCCAUUAAAUAA